Molecule: ribosomal RNA, 395 nt
Filed under: uncultured bacterium
Lineage: Bacteria
Description: bacterial SSU rRNA
Rfam family: Bacterial small subunit ribosomal RNA
Source: RNAcentral
UAAUACGGAGGGUGCGAGCGUUGUCCGGAAUCACUGGGCGUAAAGGGCGCGUAGGCGGCAUGCCAAGCGUGUGGUGAAAGCCCGGGGCUCAACCCCGGGUCGGCCGUGCGGACUGGCGUGCUUGAGCACUGUAGGGGCGGGUGGAAUUCCGGGUGUAGCGGUGGAAUGCGUAGAGAUCCGGAAGAACACCGGUGGCGAAGGCGGCCCGCUGGGCAGGAAGGAAGCGCAAGCUUCCGGCUGACGCUGAGGCGCGACAGCGUGGGGAGCAAACAGGAUUAGAUACCCUGGUAGUCCACGCCGUAAACGAUGGGCACUAGGUGCCUGGGGGAGCGACCCUCCGGGUGCCGGCGCUAACGCAUUAAGUGCCCCGCCUGGGGAGUACGGCCGCAAGGCUG